This 257-nucleotide ribosomal RNA is filed under the name uncultured Staphylococcus sp. RNAcentral describes it as "partial 16S ribosomal RNA". It matches the Rfam family "Bacterial small subunit ribosomal RNA", at positions 524 to 781 of the family's 1533-position model. Lineage: Bacteria; Bacillati; Bacillota; Bacilli; Caryophanales; Staphylococcaceae. The record is from RNAcentral.
UACGUAGGUGGCAAGCGUUAUCCGGAAUUAUUGGGCGUAAAGCGCGCGUAGGCGGUUUUUUAAGUCUGAUGUGAAAGCCCACGGCUCAACCGUGGAGGGUCAUUGGAGACUGGAAGACUUGAGUGCAGAAGAGGAAAGUGGAAUUCCAUGUGUAGCGGUGAAAUGCGCAGAGAUAUGGAGGAACACCAGUGGCGAAGGCGACUUUCUGGUCUGUAACUGACGCUGAUGUGCGAAAGCGUGGGAUCAAACAGGAUUAG